GCGGGUGUGGCGAAAUUGGCAGACGCACCAGAUUUAGGUUCUGGCGCCGCAAGGCGUGGGGGUUCAAGUCCCUUCACCCGCACCA
RNAcentral lists this transfer RNA (85 nucleotides) under Paracoccus sp. (in: a-proteobacteria). RNAcentral describes it as "tRNA-Leu". It matches the Rfam family "tRNA". From Rfam's summary of the family: Transfer RNA (tRNA) molecules are approximately 80 nucleotides in length. Their secondary structure includes four short double-helical elements and three loops (D, anti-codon, and T loops). Further hydrogen bonds mediate the characteristic L-shaped molecular structure. tRNAs have two regions of fundamental functional importance: the anti-codon, which is responsible for specific mRNA codon recognition, and the 3' end, to which the tRNAs corresponding amino acid is attached (by aminoacyl-tRNA synthetases). tRNAs cope with the degeneracy of the genetic code in two manners: having more than one tRNA (with a specific anti-codon) for a particular amino acid; and 'wobble' base-pairing, i.e. permitting non-standard base-pairing at the 3rd anti-codon position. RNAcentral also lists the same sequence under 4 other names. Lineage: Bacteria; Pseudomonadati; Pseudomonadota; Alphaproteobacteria; Rhodobacterales; Paracoccaceae. The record is from RNAcentral.